This 504-nucleotide ribosomal RNA is filed under the name uncultured bacterium. RNAcentral's name for it is "bacterial SSU rRNA". It matches the Rfam family "Bacterial small subunit ribosomal RNA", at positions 107 to 607 of the family's 1533-position model. The record is from RNAcentral.
UGAGUAAUGUCUGGGAAACUGCCUGAUGGAGGGGGAUAACUACUGGAAACGGUAGCUAAUACCGCAUAACGUCGCAAGACCAAAGAGGGGGACCUUCGGGCCUCUUGCCAUCAGAUGUGCCCAGAUGGGAUUAGCUAGUAGGUGGGGUAAUGGCUCACCUAGGCGACGAUCCCUAGCUGGUCUGAGAGGAUGACCAGCCACACUGGAACUGAGACACGGUCCAGACUCCUACGGGAGGCAGCAGUGGGGAAUAUUGCACAAUGGGCGCAAGCCUGACGCAGCCAUGCCGCGUGUGUGAAGAAGGCCUUCGGGUUGUAAAGCACUUUCAGCGAGGAGGAAGGUGGUGAGCUUAAUACGCUCAUCAAUUGACGUUACUCGCAGAAGAAGCACCGGCUAACUCCGUGCCAGCAGCCGCGGUAAUACGGAGGGUGCAAGCGUUAAUCGGAAUUACUGGGCGUAAAGCGCACGCAGGCGGUUUGUUAAGUCAGAUGUGAAAUCCCCGGG